RNAcentral lists this ribosomal RNA (446 nucleotides) under uncultured bacterium. RNAcentral describes it as "partial 16S ribosomal RNA". It matches the Rfam family "Bacterial small subunit ribosomal RNA", at positions 338 to 795 of the family's 1533-position model. The record is from RNAcentral.
CCUACGGGUGGCAGCAGUCGAGAAUCAUUCACAAUGGGGGAAACCCUGAUGGUGCGACGCCGCGUGGGGGAAUGAAGGUCUUCGGAUUGUAAACCCCUGUCAUGUGGGAGCAAAUUAAAAAGAUAGUACCACAAGAGGAAGAGACGGCUAACUCUGUGCCAGCAGCCGCGGUACUACAGAGGUCGCAAGCGUUGUUCGGAAUCACUGGGCGUAAAGCGUUCGUAGGCGGUUUCGUAAGUCGUGUGUGAAAGGCGCGGGCUCAACCCGCGGACGGCACAUGAUACUGCGAGACUAGAGUAAUGGAGGGGGAACCGGAAUUCUCGGUGUAGCAGUGAAAUGCGUAGAUAUCGAGAGGAACACUCGUGGCGAAGGCGGGUUCCUGGACAUUAACUGACGCUGAGGCACGAAGGCCAGGGGAGCGAAAGGGAUUAGAUACCCUGGUAGUC